CAAGUGCUUACCUGCCUAAUUAUAGCAACUCAACAAUGUAAUCAACUCUCCUCUACGUUUUCCCAGAUGAGUUUGAAUACCAAGUUUAGAAUCUGUAAUCCUGAAAUCCUGCUCCCACCCAGGAGUUGAGCCUACCUGAAUAGGAGUGUUGGGUGCCAACGCUAGACUGCUCUGAAGUACCACCGAUCGCACAAAUCCCUUCCUUCUUAUUGAUUGCUUUUCUAAAGGUCUUGGCAACAUCUGUGCUUUUUA
Long non-coding RNA from Gorilla gorilla gorilla (western lowland gorilla), 252 nucleotides. RefSeq lists it as uncharacterized. NCBI's taxonomy places the organism in Eukaryota, Metazoa, Chordata, Mammalia, Primates, Hominidae. The record is from RefSeq and is a predicted model, not a curated record. The transcript is spliced from 2 exons.